CUGUUUAACUUUCUGGCACCAGUUGAUUUAAAAAAAAAAAAGUUAUUCACUGGAGUACCCCUUUAACUUCUGUGGGAUUAACCCCUUAAGGACGCAGCCCUUUUUCGCAAUUCUGACCACUGUAACUUUAAGUAUUAAUAACUCUAAGAUGCUUUUACCGAUUAUUCUGAUUCUGAGAUCGUCUUUUCGUGACAUAUUCUACUUUAUUUUAGUGGUAAAUUUUCGUCGCUACUUGCAUCCUUUCUUGGUGAAAAAUCCCAAAAUUUCAUGUAAAUUUUGAAAAUGUUGCAUUUUUCUAACUUUGAAACUUUCUGCUUGUAAGGAAAAUGGACAUUCCAAAUAAUUUUAUAUUGGUUCACAAAUACAAUAUGUCCACUCUAUGUUGGCAUCAUAAAAUGGACAUAUUUUUACUUUUUGAAAAAAUUAGAGGGCUUCAAAGUAUAACAGCAAUUUUCAAAAUUUUCAUGAAAAUUACAAAAUCUGAAGGGACAGAUGUUACGGCACUACUGAAAGGAUCUGCAACUCCUCACUAUAUACCCCUGGCAUAUAGCGCCUUAGUUCUAACUUUAUUGCAUUACACUCUAACUUUAUUGCAUUAAGCAUCAGUAUAAAAAGGGCAAAAGGGCGUAUUUACAUUGACCAAUUAAAAUGUGGCAAUGAGCAAAAAGCGUAUUUACAUUGACCAAUAAAAAUGUGGACACAUCUAAAAGGUGAUAUCAUUGUUUUGAUUUUACACACUUCUUCCCAGGGUACAUAGCGCCAAUUAGCAGAUAGUGAAAUUAUUUAGCAAGCAACUUUAGUUACAGGAAAUGUAACUUAUUAGGAACACGACCUUGAGGAGACUGAGAACGAGAAGAAGGAGAUAAGAAAGAAAGAGAAUAAAACAAUAAUAAAGGAGAACUCUAGUGCAGCCUUUCACUAACUACAACUCACAGCAUGCCCUGAUACAACCUUUCACUAAUUACAACUCACAGCAUGCCCUAAUACAACCUUUCACUAACUACAACUCACAGCAUGCCCUGAUACAACCUUUCACUAACUACAACUCACAGCAUGCCCUGAUACAACCUUUCACUAACUACAACUCACAGCAUGCCCUGAUACAACCUUUCACUAACUACAACUCACAGCAUGCCCUGAUACAACCUUUCACUAACUACAACUCACAGCAUGCCCUGAUACAACCUUUCACUAACUACAACUCACAGCAUGCCCUGAUACAACCUUUCACUAACUACAACUCACAGCAUGCCCUGAUACAACCUUUCACUAACUACAACUCACAGCAUGCCCUGAUACAACCUUUCACUAACUACAACUCACAGCAUGCCCUGAUACAACCUUUCACUAACUACAACUCACAGCAUGCCCUGAUACAACCUUUCACUAACUACAACUCACAGCAUGCCCUGAUACAACCUUUCACUAACUACAACUCACAGCAUGCCCUGAUACAACCUUUCAAUCCCCUCUUAGAACCAUAAUUUUUUCAAAUAACAUGGUUCUAUUUCCGAUUGUUCUUAUAAUGCUUCACAUAUGAUUUGUAAGCUUAUGGAGAGCGUCCUGUGGGAAGGGAUUGAUACAUAGAAAGAUCGCUUACACUCUUAGAAAGGAUUUUUCAGAAACAGGGGAGGACACACAUGGCAAUGAAAGCAACAAUCAACAGUACUAUACCUAUCACUGUAAACACUUACUAUAGUAGGACAUGUGUACAUUAGGCAGGGGGGGGGGGGGUGGAUAAGCCAGGAAACAACACUCGAGGAUGUGGAGUUAUACCAUAGAACAGGCAUCCCCCCCUCCCAAGUGUUGCCUACUUGCCCCUGAGUGCAGCUAAUGGUCAAUAAAGUCAAUAUGGUUAUUGACCAUGAUGGGAGCGCCAGGCAGUGUUGUUUCUACAUGGUUCCGGAACUCUUCAAACUUCGCUAGGAGAUGGAGGUCAGGGCUGUCUGCCCCCGUUAGUACCUCUGGUUGGGUCUUCAGGUCAGGGCUGUCUGCCCCCGUUAUUACCCCUUUCACUGCUUUCUUCUGGUACAGCUUGAUCCUAGUGGCGUGGAUCCAGGUAGGGGAAUCGUCGGUGAGUACAGCUGUGCGGGUUACUGCUACCACAGAGGUCGGGGGACCAUAGGAAAAGUCAGCCUGGGACUUCUUUCUUCGCAGUUCUUUGACCAGUACUAGGUAUCCUACUUCGAAGGAAUGAGUUGGUUCCUGUGAAGAAAGAGGAGACUUCAAAGAGAUUUUGUUCUCAAUGUCUGACAGAUUUUGAAUAAGUUGUGUGACAUAUUGGUUCCUGAUUUGGUCUCGGUCACCUUCUGGAGUCACCAAAGGUUUCUUUGCCCAAGGUGUGGGGAAGGGUCUACCCAUGAGGAUUUCAAAAGGAGACAGGCCAAGGGUCUUAUGUGGGGUCAUUCUAAUUUCAGCUAAUAUGAUGGGAAGUAUUUUAUUUAUUUUAUAAUGUUCCCCCUGUUGCUUCCUAGAACUCUGAAGGGUGGUAGGGGAUAUGGAAUUUCCACUCUACCAGAAGGAUUUUUUGAGUUUAGAGGUGAAAGCUGGACCAUGAUCAGACUUGAUUACAAGUGGAAAUCCCCAUUGGGGGGGGAUGAUGUGUUGUGUGAGUAUGUGUGCAGUGGUUUUAUGUGUGCAGUGGUUCUUGAAUCUUCUCUCUUGGUAGGGAAUACUUCAGGCCAUCUGGAGAACAUGUCCACGAUAACCAGGGCAUACUCUUGCUUACCCUUUCCCUUUGGUAUGUGGGUGUAGUCAAUUGGUUGGUCAGUGAAAGGUGUUGUAGGGUACUGCAGGUGUUGGUGUUGUACAUAGUGGUGUGUACUGGGGUUGUUCCUGAGACAUACGAGGCAACGUUUGAUGUAGUCGUCUACCAGUUGUUUAGAUGUAAAAGUGUUGGGAGAGGAGGGUGUGUGUGGUAGAGAUGCUGUUGUGGCCUACUUCAUGGAAAUGAGCAAUAAAGACUGGGGAACUGUGUCGGGGUAUGCAUGGUCUCCCCUCUUUGUAGAUCAAUCCUGUUUCAGGAUUUCUCUGCAAUACCGGAUAACACCGAUCAUAUUCCUCUUGUUCGGGAACAGAGGACUGGAGAGAGAGAAGUUUUGUGUCUUCGAGUGAAGGAGGUGUAAGAACUGGUAACAUCAGUGAGACAGGUUGUUGUGUAGCAGCCAGUUUGGCAGUGUGGUCUGCUAGAGCAUUGUCCUUUGAAAUGUGAUCAGUCCCACGUGUGUGUGUCCUGCAGUGAAUGAUGACUAAUUGUGAUGGUAGGGUAAGUGCAUGUAAAUGGUGACAGGUUUAUUAGCAAAAAGUGUACAGGCUCUUGUGAGGGCGAUGAGUUCUGCAGCUUGUGUGGACUUAUAGGGGAUGGACUGGGCCUUGAGGACAAUGUCAGGAAAUUGGACAAUAGCAUAACUGGCAAGGUAAACAUUGUCAUUGGGGCGGGUGCAUGACCCAUCUACAAAGACUUCUAGAGCAUCAGGUAUGGGCACUGAGGAGAGGUCGGGCCAGGGUGAGGUGUCAGUGUGGAUGACUUGCAAGCAGUCAUGUAUGUCCGGCAUUACAUCAUCAUGAUUUUUCAGGCCAAUUAGUGCGUUGAGUAUUGGAGCAUGGCCAGAUGUAGUGGAGGCAUACACAAUUUUCAAGGAUGGAUUACUGAGUAAAAUUACCUCAUAUCCAGAGAGCCGUUGUGUAUGUAGGCCGUUAAGGAGAGAGAUAACAUCAUGAGAAGUGUACAAGGUAGUGUAAUGUCCUAAAGUGAGGAUGGUAGCUUGUUCAACAAUCAUAGCACAGGCAGCAAGAGCUCGCAGACAUGCCUGCAUCCCCUGUACGGAGACGGGCAUCACCUUUGAGAAAAAACCAAAAGGAUGCAGUUUGCCUCCGUGAAAUUGUGUCAACACACCCGCCAUGGUUUUACAAUUGUCUCGUGCAUACAUAUGGAAAGUAAAAUUAUAAUCUGGGAGGCCUAGCCCUGGAAUUGUCAUUAAUGUACAUUUCAAGUAAUCAAAAGCUUUGUACAUGUCGGAGGACCAUUUGAUUAGAUCUAGUUUGUCUGACAGGGUAGCAUGAGCAGUCAGGAAUCCACUGUCUGCAGUAGUUUAUCAUACCCAGAAAAGAUUGCAUUUCCUUUCGGGUGCGCGGGGUGACCAGGUCCGCUACAGACUGGACUCUAGACGUACUCAACUCCCUUUUCCCUUUUGGCAGAACAAAUCCCAGAUUUUCAACCUGUUCACAACACCCUCCUCAAGGCAGGCCUCCUCAGAGAAACUACACAGUAACAAAUCAUCAACAUCUUGGAGGAGAACAGAACCCCGGGGGGGCAUGCCAUGAUUUUAAAGUGAUUUGGAGGACAAUGCUGAACACAACAGGUGAAUCAGCAUACCCCUGGGGCAUUCUACACCAGGUUAACUGUAGUCCCUCAAAGGAAAAAGCAAAAAGGAGUCUGGUCUCUUUGUCCACUGGGAUCGAGAAGAAAGCAUUCUUCAGAUCGAGGACAGAAAAAUGAGUUGCCUGUGCUGGGAUUGAUGACAACAGUUGGGUGACAUCAGGAACUAUAGGGGCAAUAGGCACAAUUAGUCUGUUGAUGAUUCUCAGGUCUUGUACAAAACAGACAGUACCAUCGGGUUUAGGGACCGGAUUAAUUGGAGUGCAGUAGGGAGAGACAGUAUGUUCUAAAACUCAAGUGUGUAGGAAAUGUUUGAUCAUAGGGCGGAUACCUUCGAUUUUUAUUUUAUUUUAUUUUUUUAGAUGACAAGGGGUACUGUUUUUGGUAGACCGGGAGGAUGUCUGGUUUGAGUCUUGCCUUGUAUGGUGUACAGUCAAUGUGUCCCACA
Long non-coding RNA from Hyla sarda, 4826 nucleotides. RefSeq lists it as uncharacterized. Lineage: Eukaryota; Metazoa; Chordata; Amphibia; Anura; Hylidae. The record is from RefSeq and is a predicted model, not a curated record. The transcript is spliced from 2 exons.